UAAUGCCAGCAGUUAAGAUCAGUGUGAGUGAAGCGAGCCCGAGUCUUCCUGGAGCUUGUUGCAAUGUGCUUGCUUCCCUGAGCCAUGGACACCAAAGGCAGACUUCCCUGGAGGAUGGAGCUCAUUGGUACCUCCAAGUCAAUUCUUUGGGAAUCAAGACGCAAUGAACAGAAUGAGAAUUUCUGACUCUGUCCCUCUGCCUUUUCCAGAGCAGCCAUGAGCAGGAAGAGGGAGGCACUGCACCUCUCCUGCCCUACCCGAGCCCUUCUGAGACCUUCCAUGGCAGAGUUCCUGGUCACCACAGUCACCACGGACCACUCUGCUUGCAGAAGAAAACUGUGUGUGCUCUCAUCAGCCUGGGGCUGCCUAAUCACCUCCUGAUUUAGAGAAUCCUUAAGUCAAAACAAGGAAUACUAGCUGAAAUCACUGUGUUGUUUGUCCACAUUUGCUUGUAAGAUGGGCAGCACCCACACCCGGUGACCACCAAGCCCCCUGGGUUUCCCUGGUCUCUGCUGCUCUGCCCCCUGUAAAGCUUACCCCACCCAAACUCUGCACAUCCUUCAACUGCUCAGACAACACCAAGCUGUUCCUGCGUGCCCCACCUGGAAGCAGUGCCUCCUUGCCUCACCCCCUUUCUAAUCAUCUAAGAACUGGUUAAAGACAGCAGCGAGAUUUCCCAUAUACCCCUCACCCAGGGUCCCCUGGGUUAAUAUCCCACGUUACUGUGGUGCAUUUGCCAAAACUAAGAAACCUACCUUGGUCCACAAUGAUGCACUAAACUUCACACUUCAUUCAGAUGUCCUUGAUUUUCCCUCAAGUCCUUUUUCUGUCCCAGAAUCCCCUCUAGGAUGCACAUUACCUUCAGCUGUCACUUCUCCUUAGGUGCCCCUGAUCUGUGACAGCUCCUCGCCCUUUCCUUGUUUUUCAUGUUCCUGACACUUUGGAGGACUGCUGGUGAGGUAUUUUGUGCAGUGCCUCCGUUUGGGUCUGUCUGAUGCUUUUUCUCAUGCUUAGGAAGGGGAUGGGUUUCUGGGAGGAAGAGCAUAGAGGGGAAGUGCCCCCAUCCUCAUCAUUACCCCUUGCUCUUUAGUACUUACUGCCACAUUCUCCUAGCCUCUCUUCCUGCUUCUUGGGUUCCAUCCGUCCUCUACGAGUGUGUCACAAGAAGUACCCACCUUCUUAUACACAUGCCUGAAUUCAUGCCAUGUGCCAGGCAUCAUGCCAUCCCUGAGGGUCCUAAGACACCACCAGAGGAUGAUUACAGUACCAAAUGCCUUUUCCUGGAUCCUUGGGUCUUGGUGACCUAAGAGAUUCAAGGACCAGGGAAGGUGUCCCACUACAUGGCGAGGUCUCGGGU
RNAcentral lists this long non-coding RNA (1357 nucleotides) under Sus scrofa (pig). RNAcentral's name for it is "lncRNA (ENSSSCG00050064048.1)". The record is from RNAcentral. Lineage: Eukaryota; Metazoa; Chordata; Mammalia; Artiodactyla; Suidae.